Canis lupus familiaris (dog) is the source of this 91-nucleotide non-coding RNA. NCBI's taxonomy places the organism in Eukaryota, Metazoa, Chordata, Mammalia, Carnivora, Canidae. The record is from Rfam.
GGGGGGAGGCCGGGUCCUGGGCUGUGUCCCCGGCGCCCUGGGCUCCGGGGCCUUGCGCUAUUGGAUUCGCGCUCCGGCCGGGCAGCCCCGU